RNAcentral lists this ribosomal RNA (253 nucleotides) under uncultured bacterium. Its description in RNAcentral is "partial 16S ribosomal RNA". It matches the Rfam family "Bacterial small subunit ribosomal RNA", at positions 524 to 776 of the family's 1533-position model. The record is from RNAcentral.
UACGUAGGCAGCAAGCGUUGUUCGGAAUUACUGGGCGUAAAGAGUGUGUAGGUGGUGUCGUAAGUUUGGUGUGAAAUCUCCCGGCUUAACUGGGAGGGUGCGCCGAAGACUGCGAUGCUGGAGUAUGGGAGAGGAAAGCGGAAUUCCUGGUGUAGCGGUGAAAUGCGCAGAUAUCAGGAGGAACACCGGUGGCGAAGGCGGGUCUCUGGGCCGAUAUUGACGCUGAGGAGCGAAAGCGUGGGGAGCGAACAGG